AACGAACGCUGGCGGCAUGCCUAACACAUGCAAGUCGAACGAGAUCUUCGGGUCUAGUGGCGCACGGGUGCGUAACGCGUGGGAAUCUGCCCUUUGGUUCGGAAUAACAGUUGGAAACGACUGCUAAUACCGGAUGAUGACGAAAGUCCAGAGAUUUAUCGCCAGAGGAUGAGCCCGCGUAGGAUUAGCUAGUUGGUGUGGUAAAGGCGCACCAAGGCGACGAUCCUUAGCUGGUCUGAGAGGAUGAUCAGCCACACUGGGACUGAGACACGGCCAAGACUCCUAGGGGAGGCAGCAGUGGGGAAUAUUGAAAAAGGGGCGAAAGCCGGAUCCAGCAAUGCCGCGUGGGUGAGGAAGGCCUGAGGGUUGUAAAGCUCUUUUACCCGGGAUGAAAAGGACAGUACCGGGAGAAUAAGCUCCGGCUAACUCCGUGCCAGCAGCCGCCGUAA
RNAcentral lists this ribosomal RNA (449 nucleotides) under uncultured bacterium. Its description in RNAcentral is "partial 16S ribosomal RNA". It matches the Rfam family "Bacterial small subunit ribosomal RNA", at positions 29 to 523 of the family's 1533-position model. The record is from RNAcentral.